UACGAGGGGUGCAAGCGUUGCUCGGAAUUAUUGGGCGUAAAGGGUAGGUAGGUGGUCUCAUUUGUCUGGGGUGAAAGCCUUGAGCUUAACUCAAGAAGUGCCCCAGAAACGGUGAGACUGGAGUCCUGGAGAGGGUCGUGGAAUUCCCGGUGUAGCGGUGAAAUUCGUAGAUAUUGGGAAGAACACCGGUGGCGAAGGCGGCUCACUGGCCCGUUACUGACGCUCAGGCGCGACAGCGUGGGGAUCAAACAGG
Molecule: ribosomal RNA, 253 nt
Filed under: uncultured bacterium
Lineage: Bacteria
Description: partial 16S ribosomal RNA
Rfam family: Bacterial small subunit ribosomal RNA
Source: RNAcentral